CAGUGGCGAACGGGUGAGUAACACGUGGGCAAUCUGCCCUGCACUCUGGGACAAGCCCUGGAAACGGGGUCUAAUACCGGAUAAUAUCUUUUCCCGCAUGGGGGAGGGUUAAAAGCUCCGGCGGUGCAGGAUGAGCCCGCGGCCUAUCAGCUUGUUGGUGGGGUAAUGGCCUACCAAGGCGACGACGGGUAGCCGGCCUGAGAGGGCGACCGGCCACACUGGGACUGAGACACGGCCCAGACUCCUACGGGAGGCAGCAGUGGGGAAUAUUGCACAAUGGGCGAAAGCCUGAUGCAGCGACGCCGCGUGAGGGAUGACGGCCUUCGGGUUGUAAACCUCUUUCAGCAGGGAAGAAGCGCAAGUGACGGUACCUGCAGAAGAAGCACCGGCUAACUACGUGCCAGCAGCCGCGGUAAUACGUAGGGUGCGAGCGUUGUCCGGAAUUAUUGGGCGUAAAGAGCUCGUAGGCGGUCUGUCGCGUCGGAUGUGAAAGCCCGGGGCUUAACCCCGGGUCUGCAUUCGAUACGGGCAGACUAGAGUGUGGUAGGGGAGAUCGGAAUUCCUGGUGUAGCGGUGAAAUGCGCAGAUAUCAGGAGGAACACCGGUGGCGAAGGCGGAUCUCUGGGCCAUUAC
Molecule: ribosomal RNA, 633 nt
Filed under: uncultured bacterium
Lineage: Bacteria
Description: bacterial SSU rRNA
Rfam family: Bacterial small subunit ribosomal RNA
Source: RNAcentral